Mus musculus (house mouse) is the source of this 1443-nucleotide RNA transcript. It is a transcript of the gene named glycosyltransferase 6 domain containing 1, with no coding region annotated. The transcript has 7 exons. The record is from RefSeq and is marked validated. Lineage: Eukaryota; Metazoa; Chordata; Mammalia; Rodentia; Muridae.
AGAGCUAUCCUCCCUAGGAAACAAAUGUCCUCCACGGACAUUUUUGCCUGUCUCCCAAUACCACCCUGAUCCAAGGAAGGAAUGAAGGCUAAAAGGAGGAUUUUAUUACAAUUACUGACUUUCUGCCUUUUCCUGCUGCUGCUGGCAAAGAUCCACUUCAGGAACCACCAGGAAGAGGAACUUCUGCUCUCAGACUGGUUUAACCCCAGGAGACGCCUGGAUGUCAUCACGACCACAGACUGGCUGGCCCCCAUCAUAUGGGAAGGCACCUUUGACAGAAAGGUCCUGGAGACAUAUUUCAGGAAGCAGAACAUCACCGUGGGUUUGGCUGUGUUUGCUGUUGGCAGUCUCACUGACAAGUACCUGGACCCAUUCUUGCAAUCAGCCAGCAAGUUCUUCAUGCCUGGCUAUCGAGUGAUCUUCUACAUCAUGGUGGAUAAGUACCUGCAGCUACAAGAAAUGGAGCACAACCCUCUGCAAUCCUUUCAAGUACUCAAAAUAGGCAAGGAGAGGUGGUGGAGCAACUUUGACCUCAUGCGCAUGAAAAUCUUGUCUGAGCACAUCCGGGAUCACAUCAGAUAUGAAGUGGAUUUCCUCUUCAGCAUGAACAUCAACAUGGUCUUCCAAAACUGGAUGAAAAAGGGAGGUGCCCCUUAAACAGCCCUGAAGCAGCUGGAGGACCACUCUUACCAGCUAUGUUGAAGACGAGGGACUUUUGAAGCUGGAAUUUCUCCACAAGUCCCAGGACUCCGCCUCUCCACAGUGAACAUGAUAUUACUCAAAGGAUGUGUAGCCUGCCCAAAGCUUGCAGCUUCUCCAGCUGUUUGCCUCUGUGAAGGAUACCUGGCUCCUGAGCUGGACUUCCCUCUUCCACAGGGGACUCAGAUUUCCCAUGAAGUACUCACAGGAUCCUUGGUACUGGCCUUGGAGCUCAGUUGGGUGGAUGGUAACAUUAAAUCCUGUGCACAACCCCUCUCCUCUAGAAAGAAGAGACAUUUAUAUAUACCUCUGCCUGAGAGUGUAGCCGGCUCAGGACACAGAGAAACAUUGGCUGUGAUCCUGUCUGAGAGCCCUGAAUACCUCCCCAGGGUUCUCAGCUCCCAGUGUUUGGGAGCAGCCUUUAUUAGAGCUAGAGAGAUGGAGAGAGAGGGUGGUAGCCACAGGUACUGCUCACUGCAAGUAGUGGAAUGGGGUCUGAUUCACAGUUGCAUGGAACCAGACUUCCCAGAAGACGCUGAGCCCAGACUGUUCUUUGAGAGUUGGGUGUUGGGAUCAGGACUCUGACCUGUUUGUCUGUGGCUUCUCCUGCUUUAUACAGACGUGGUCCAUGUUUCCUGGGGCCCAGCCUGUUCGUGAACUCAUUAUAUAGCUAAGAACGACCUUAAAUUCAAGAUCAUCCUGCUUCAACUUCACAAAUCUGGGAUUAAAGAUAUGUGCCUCUAA